GGUGGAUUAGUGGCGAACGGGUGAGUAACACGUGGGCAAUCUGCCCUGCACUCUGGGACAAGCCCUGGAAACGGGGUCUAAUACCGGAUACGAGCCUCCGACGCAUCUUCCUGGUUGGAAAGCUCCGGCGGUGCAGGAUGAGCCCGCGGCCUAUCAGCUUGUUGGUGAGGUAAUGGCUCACCAAGGCGACGACGGGUAGCCGGCCUGAGAGGGCGACCGGCCACACUGGGACUGAGACACGGCCCAGACUCCUACGGGAGGCAGCAGUGGGGAAUAUUGCACAAUGGGCGCAAGCCUGAUGCAGCGACGCCGCGUGAGGGAUGACGGCCUUCGGGUUGUAAACCUCUUUCAGCAGGGAAGAAGCGGAAGUGACGGUACCUGCAGAAGAAGCGCCGGCUAACUACGUGCCAGCAGCCGCGGUAAUACGUAGGGCGCAAGCGUUGUCCGGAAUUAUUGGGCGUAAAGAGCUCGUAGGCGGCUUGUCGCGUCGGUUGUGAAAGCCCGGGGCUUAACUCCGGGUCUGCAGUCGAUACGGGCAGGCUAGAGUUCGGUAGGGGAGAUCGGAAUUCCUGGUGUAGCGGUGAAAUGCGCAGAUAUCAGGAGGAACACCGGUGGCGAAGGCGGAUCUCUGGGCCGAUACUGACGCUGAGGAGCGAAAGCGUGGGGAGCGAACAGGAUUAGAUACCCUGGUAGUCCACGCCGUAAACGGUGGGCACUAGGUGUGGGCAGCAUUCCACGUUGUCCGUGCCGCAGCUAACGCAUUAAGUGCCCCGCCUGGGGAGUACGGCCGCAAGGCUAAA
Molecule: ribosomal RNA, 800 nt
Filed under: Streptomyces thermoviolaceus
Lineage: Bacteria; Bacillati; Actinomycetota; Actinomycetes; Kitasatosporales; Streptomycetaceae
Description: bacterial SSU rRNA
Rfam family: Bacterial small subunit ribosomal RNA
Source: RNAcentral